Pseudomassariella vexata is the source of this 72-nucleotide transfer RNA. It matches the Rfam family "tRNA". Rfam says of the family: Transfer RNA (tRNA) molecules are approximately 80 nucleotides in length. Lineage: Eukaryota; Fungi; Ascomycota; Sordariomycetes; Amphisphaeriales; Pseudomassariaceae. The record is from Rfam.
UCCGCAUUAGUGUAGGGGUUAACAUAUCGCGUUUUCACCGCGAAGCCCGGGGUUCGAUUCCCCGAUGCGGAG